CCUGAAUUUCAUAUGGCUUCUCGUAUAUGUGCAGGAAUAGGCCUGCAUGUCUCUACCCAGUCACCGGAAUGAUUGGACUACGGGAUCACGACUCUUCGUG
This 100-nucleotide non-coding RNA is filed under the name Paenibacillus pini. RNAcentral describes it as "Guanine sequence". It matches the Rfam family "Purine riboswitch aptamer". Rfam says of the family: Riboswitches are metabolite binding domains within certain messenger RNAs that serve as precision sensors for their corresponding targets. Allosteric rearrangement of mRNA structure is mediated by ligand binding, and this results in modulation of gene expression. A class of riboswitches that selectively recognises guanine and becomes saturated at concentrations as low as 5 nM. Lineage: Bacteria; Bacillati; Bacillota; Bacilli; Caryophanales; Paenibacillaceae. The record is from RNAcentral. RNAcentral also lists the same sequence under 1 other name.